GAUGAACGCUGGCGGCGUGCCUAAUACAUGCAAGUCGAACGGAAAGGCGCGGAUCUUGUGGGGUUCUCGAUUGGGGAAGGGGGGAGUGACACGCGUGUAUCCUCCACUUGUCUUUCUGAGAAAACCUCGAAAAAGCGGCUAUUACAGCAUAGAAUCUCUUGAACCACGUUGGUGAUUGGAAAGAUUCGGUUUUGCGGGAACGUCUAGCGGGUUACGAGCCGCAUUAGCUAGUUGGUAAGGUAACGGCGUACCAAGGCAACGAGGCGUAACCGACCUGAGAGGGUGAUCGGCCACACUGGAACUGAGACACGGUCCAGACUCCUACGGGAGGCAGCAGUAGGGAAUCUUCCGCAAUGGGCGAAAGCCUGACGGAGCAACGCCGCGUGAGUGAUGAAGGUCUUCGGAUCGUAAAACUCUGUUAUUAGGGAAGAACAAAUGUGUAAGUAACUAUGCACGUCUUGACGGUACCGAAUCAGAAAGCCACGGCUAACUACGUG
Molecule: ribosomal RNA, 497 nt
Filed under: uncultured bacterium
Lineage: Bacteria
Description: partial 16S ribosomal RNA
Rfam family: Bacterial small subunit ribosomal RNA
Source: RNAcentral